Molecule: ribosomal RNA, 461 nt
Filed under: uncultured bacterium
Lineage: Bacteria
Description: bacterial SSU rRNA
Rfam family: Bacterial small subunit ribosomal RNA
Source: RNAcentral
CCUANGGGUGGCUGCAGUAAGGAAUAUUGGGCAAUGGGCGCAAGCCUGACCCAGCCAUGCCGCGUGAAGGAUGACGGCCCUAUGGGUUGUAAACUUCUUUUGUACGGGAAAAAACCCCCGGUCGUGUACCGGGGCUGAUGGUACCGUAAGAAUAAGCAUCGGCUAACUCCGUGCCAGCAGCCGCGGUAAUACGGAGGAUGCAAGCGUUAUCCGGAUUCAUUGGGUUUAAAGGGUGCGCAGGCGGAAUGAUAAGUCAGUGGUGAAAUCCUACGGCUCAACUGUAGAACUGCCAUUGAUACUGUCAUUCUUGAGUACACUUGAAGUGGGCGGAAUGUGUCAUGUAGCGGUGAAAUGCUUAGAUAUGACACAGAACACCGAUCGCGAAGGCAGCUCACUAAAUUGUAACUGACGCUCAUGCACGAAAGCGUGGGGAUCAAACAGGAUUAGAUACCCCUNUANUC